This 330-nucleotide ribosomal RNA is filed under the name uncultured eukaryote. Its description in RNAcentral is "partial 18S ribosomal RNA". It matches the Rfam family "Eukaryotic small subunit ribosomal RNA", at positions 1470 to 1796 of the family's 1831-position model. The record is from RNAcentral.
CCCUUAGAUGUUCUGGGCCGCACGCGCGCUACACUGAUGCAUUCAACGAGUCUAAAACCUGGUCUGAUAGGGCUGGGUAAUCUUUUGAAUGUGCAUCGUGAUUGGGAUAGAUGAUUGCAAUUCUUCAUCUUCAACGAGGAAUGCCUAGUAAACGCAAGUCACCAGCUUGCAUUGAUUACGUCCCUGCCCUUUGUACACACCGCCCGUCGCUCCUACCGAUUGAAUGUUCCGAUGAAUACCAUGGACUGAGAGUAUGAAUGGGUUCGCCUAUUUCUGCUUCUCGGGAAGUGGAGUAAAUCUUAACAUUUAGAGGAAGGAGAAGUCGUAACA